This 83-nucleotide ribosomal RNA is filed under the name Lepisosteus oculatus (spotted gar). Lineage: Eukaryota; Metazoa; Chordata; Actinopteri; Semionotiformes; Lepisosteidae. The record is from RNAcentral.
GCCAGCAGCCAUAUCACCCUGCUGGUGUGAGCCUGGUCAGUACCUGGGUGGGAGACCUUCUAGGAAAAUAGUUGUUGCUGGAA